Molecule: ribosomal RNA, 520 nt
Filed under: uncultured Chloroflexota bacterium
Lineage: Bacteria; Bacillati; Chloroflexota
Description: bacterial SSU rRNA
Rfam family: Bacterial small subunit ribosomal RNA
Source: RNAcentral
UAGGGAAUAUUGCACAAUGGGCGAAAGCCUGAUGCAGCAACGCCGCGUGCACGAUGAAGGCCUUCGGGUCGUAAAGUGCUUUUCGGGGAGAUGAGAAAGGACAGUAUCCCCGGAAUAAGGAUCGGCUAACUACGUGCCAGCAGCCGCGGUAAAACGUAGGAUCCGAGCGUUAUCCGAAUUUACUGGGCGUAAAGCGCGUGUAGGCGGUUCGGUAAGUUGGAUGUGAAAUCUCCUGGCUCAACUGGGAGAGGUCGUUCAAUACUGUCGGACUAGAGGGUGGUAGAGGGAGGUGGAAUUCCCGGUGUAGUGGUGAAAUGCGUAGAUAUCGGGAGGAACACCAGUGGCGAAAGCGGCCUCCUAGACCGCUCCUGACGCUCAGACGCGAAAGCUAGGGGGAGCAAACGGGAUUAGAAACCCCGGUAGUCCUAGCUGUAAACGAUGUGAACUUGGCGUUGGUGGGUAAAAGCCAUCAGUGCCGAAGCUAACGCGAUAAGUUCACGCCUGGGGACUACGGCCGACG